This 253-nucleotide ribosomal RNA is filed under the name uncultured bacterium. RNAcentral describes it as "partial 16S ribosomal RNA". It matches the Rfam family "Bacterial small subunit ribosomal RNA", at positions 524 to 776 of the family's 1533-position model. The record is from RNAcentral.
UACAGAGACUGCAAGCGUUAUUCGGAUUCACUGGGCGUAAAGGGUGCGCAGGCGGCCGUGUGUGUUGGGCGUGAAAGCCCGGGGCUUAACCCCGGAAUUGCGAUUGAUACUGUUUGACUUGAAUCAGGUUGAGGUAGGCGGAAUGUGGCAUGUAGCGGUGAAAUGUGUAGAGAUCGGGAGGAACACCGGUGGCGAAGGCGGGACUCUGGGCCUACCCUGACGCUGAGGCGCGAAGGCGUGGGGAGCAAACGGG